CAGAUCAAGAGACCAAUAUGACAGUUCCACUAACUGAUCUUUGCAGAUCAACACUCCCUGGAUACGUUUUCAACCUUUCUAUUCAUUAAGGUGACUUGCUUCUGAUGGUUCAGCACUGCAGGUGGCCUCUCCUCUUCAAGGACCCUUUCAUCCCUGUUGCUGUUAGAGGCUCCAGUUCUGUAACAGCAUCUCCUCUCUAGGGAACAGCCUCCCCCCACCCGCUCUGAGCUUCUCUGCAGUGCUGGCGCUCCCAAAAACUCACUCCUUGGUGUCUUGGUACACGAGUCUCCUCCAGAUCCUGCCGAGAAUCAGGCUGGGGAGAGCAGAUCCAACUGGCACGCUCAGUUCUCUAGGCCUUCCUCCACAGUCUGCCUGGAAACUUUUUCCAGGCUUCCAACUGUCAUAUUAGAACAGGCUCCCAGGAACUAAGAAAAGGUCUUUAAAAGAUAUAAAAUCUUUCAGCCUCAGAGAAACACAUACAAAAAAAAAAUCAGUUAUUAACUCCAAGAAACAAAACUUACACCAAAGUUUAGGCUGACCAAUGUGAAAUUGCCAUCUUCAUAAGUCAAAAUAGAUGGAUACUGACCAUGUCAAGUAGUUUAAUCAGAUAUCAUCAGAGGACAUUACUACUUGGCUUACCAGUGACCAGCAUUUACUUAUUAAAUUUUCAAAAACUUUAACGAAGACAUCAGCACAUUAACAUUAAACAAAAAUUGUGCUAUAACAAUACAGGGGGAGUUGGGCAUGUUGGCUCAUGCCUGUAAUCCCAGCACUUUGGGAGGUCGAGGUGGAAGGAUCACUUAAGGCCAGAAGUUUAAGACCAGCCUGGGUAACAUAGCAAGACCCUAUUUCUCUAAAAAAAAAAAAAAAAAAAGGGAUAAAACGAAGUAGAAAAAAACUAAAACGGUCAAUUAUUAUGAUAGGAAGUCAAAACAAUGCAUAUUGGCAUAUUAUCUAAAAGGUAUGAAUCAGUAAGUAGAUAGCAGAAAAUAAGUCCAGAGGAUUCAGUCUUUUAAUGCUAUUUGAUGAUGUGUGUGUGUUGCUGUAAUAAAAAUAGUCUUUUUUUUUUUUUUUUUAAGAAAUGAUCAUCUUAUGGUGGGGCUAGAACAAUACCUGUAACCACAGGGUAAAGGAGAUUCUAUCCCGUAAUUCAUGAACCUGGUGCUGAGGAGCUCAGGGGAGCUCACGGGAGGAAGGCCCUGCAGCACAUUUCUGGGCUCUGCUGCCUGUCAUAGCCUGGUCAUAAUCUGGUGAAGCGGUUGUCCUUAUCCAACCAGAAGCUCCCCUGGCAGAUCACAAGGUCUCUUUAGACCAACAUCCAAUGACAGAGGCUGGGGGAUGCUGAUGCCUAACUUCAGCUCCAUCUCUGAUGAAAAGAUGCUUCCAGGCUGGGCACAGUGGCUCACGCCUGUAAUCCCAGCACUUUGGGAGGCCGAGGCAGGCAGAUCACCUGAGGUCAGGAGUUCAAGACCAACCUGGCUUUCAACAUGGUGAAACCCCAUCUCUACUAAAAAUACAAAAAUUAGCUGGGCUUGGUGGCAUGUGCCUGUAAUCCCAGCUACUUGGAAGGCUGAGGCGAGAGAAUCGCUUGAACCCGGGAGGCAGAGGUUGUAGUGAGCCAAGAUUGUGUCACUGCACUCCAGCUUGGAUGACAGAGCCAGGAUCCAUCCUAAAAAAAAGAAAGAAAAUGCUUCCAACCUUUGGGGGAGGUCCCUUGCCACAGUUCUGAAGGUUGGGGAAGUUCAUAAAUCAUGUUUUUCCUCAAAAUAAUUUAUGCAACAUAUCUCAGAGGAGGCAGCCUUUUAAAGACUCUUUCCACCUGUACAGGAAACUAACAUUCUGAUAUUGCUGGAGGAGGGCCUGGGGAGGGUGUAUAGGUUUCCUUUGGGGCUGUUGGAAGGUGUGCUAGAAGCACGUUGACCCAGUUUGCUGUGCAACUCUUUGCUCCAGCCAUCGAGGUCAUCUUGCUGUUCCUGAACACACUACAGUCUUGCCACUUAGGUCCUGACUAUGUCCACACUGCUUGCCUUCCCUGGAAUGCUCUUCCCUUCUUGGCUCUUCCCCUAAAUGCAUCCCCUUCCUUGAAGGUUUUGUAACACAGGGAUUCAAGGCUUUAGAUUUGCUCAAAUCUGGGUUUGGAUGUAGAAGGGCAAAUCCCUUAAUCUCCUUGAGCCUCACUCCCCUCCUUUGUAAAAUGGGAAUAAAAG
RNAcentral lists this long non-coding RNA (2207 nucleotides) under Homo sapiens (human). RNAcentral describes it as "HSALNT0160803". The record is from RNAcentral. Lineage: Eukaryota; Metazoa; Chordata; Mammalia; Primates; Hominidae.